UCGCUCCUACCGAUUUCGAGUGAUGAGGUGAACCCCUCGGACCGAUCGCAUUGCGUCGGGAAGUUGAGUAAACCUUAUCACUUAGAGGAAGGAG
This 94-nucleotide ribosomal RNA is filed under the name uncultured eukaryote. RNAcentral describes it as "partial small subunit ribosomal RNA". The record is from RNAcentral.